This 447-nucleotide ribosomal RNA is filed under the name uncultured bacterium. Its description in RNAcentral is "bacterial SSU rRNA". It matches the Rfam family "Bacterial small subunit ribosomal RNA", at positions 355 to 825 of the family's 1533-position model. The record is from RNAcentral.
UCGGGAAUCUUGGACAAUGGGCGCAAGCCUGAUCCAGCCAUGCCGCGUGGAUGAUGAAGGCCUUAGGGUUGUAAAAUCCUUUCGCCGAGGACGAUAAUGACGGUACUCGGAGAAGAAGCUCCGGCUAACUUCGUGCCAGCAGCCGCGGUAAUACGAAGGGGGCUAGCGUUGUUCGGAUUUACUGGGCGUAAAGCGCGUGUAGGCGGGUCGUUAAGUUGGGGGUGAAAUCCCGAGGCUCAACCUCGGAACUGCCUUCAAAACUGGCGACCUGGACCUAAGUAGAGGCAAGUGGAAUUGCGAGUGUAGAGGUGAAAUUCGUAGAUAUUCGCAGGAACACCAGUGGCGAAGGCGACUUGCUGGACUUAUGGUGACGCUGAGACGCGAAAGCGUGGGGAGCAAACAGGAUUAGAUACCCAUGUAGUCCCUGAGCGGGCUGGCAAGGCGCAU